Drosophila hydei is the source of this 2061-nucleotide RNA transcript. It is a transcript of the gene named alanine--glyoxylate aminotransferase 2, mitochondrial, with no coding region annotated. NCBI's taxonomy places the organism in Eukaryota, Metazoa, Arthropoda, Insecta, Diptera, Drosophilidae. The record is from RefSeq and is a predicted model, not a curated record. The transcript is spliced from 5 exons.
UUUAGUUCAGUUGAGGCUCUGUCGUCGUUGAGUGCGCACCGAUUCCGCUUGUAACGCGCAAGAUCGGCGACUAGAAAAGAAAAAAAAAACUGUUUUACAUUGCUCCUACGCGAAUGUGCAAAGCAGAACAGUGCAAAAAGUGGACAAGACAAAUUAAUCAGGAAGUGUGGCGUUAAUACUGCAGCAUUUGCAUAAAUAAGCAGGAAAAAGUAGAAUAUAGCUAACAUGCUGUCGAAGGGAGUGUUCGCUCAGACAACAUGCAAAUUGAUCCGCUGCAGCUCGACGCUGCACUCGAAGGCAGCGCCCGCAGUCAUGACCCAGCUGCAGAGCGAGAUGCCCCAAUGUGAUCAUCGUCCGGCUGCAUACAAUGGGCCCAGCUACGAGCGCAUAUUGGAGACACGCAAGAACCACCUGACGCCCAACUUGUUGGCGCACUUCAAGAAGCCGCUGGUCAUCCAUGCCGGGCACAUGCAGUGGCUGUACGAUCACGAGGGUCGUCGCUAUCUGGACAUGUUCGGCGGCAUCGUGACCGUCUCUGUGGGUCAUUGUCAUCCCAAAGUAAACCAGGCGCUGAGCGAGCAAAUGUCGAAGCUCUGGCACACGACCAACAUCUAUAUGCAUCCCAAGAUUCAUGAGUAUGCAGAGCGGCUGACAGCCAAGUUUCCGGGCAAACUGAAGGCCGUGUGCUUUGUCAACUCCGGCUCGGAGGCGAACGACUUGGCCAUGCUGUUGGCCCGUCUACACACGGGCAAUCAGGACAUCUUGACCUUCCGCAAUGCCUACCAUGGCAUGUCGCCCUAUACGAUGGGCUUGACGGCUCACUCAACUUGGCGCUACCCGCUGCCGGGCGUCAACAAUGGCAUACUGCAUGUCAUGAAUCCUGAUCCCUAUCAGGGCAUCUGGGGCGGCUCUGCCUGCCGAGACUCACCUGUGCAGACCACACGCAGCUGCAGCUGCCCGCCAAAUGACUGCCAAGCGGGUGUCAACUACUACAACGAGCUGGAGCAGACCUUCAAGUACUCGCUGCCGCGCGGCAAGGUGGCUGCCAUGUUUGCCGAGUCGAUUCAGGGUGUCGGCGGCACCGUUCAGUUCCCCAAGGGCUAUCUGAAGCGGGCGGCCGAACUGGUGCGUGCCAAUGGCGGCCUGUUCGUGGCGGAUGAGGUGCAAACGGGCUUCGGCCGCACCGGCGAUCACUUCUGGGGCUUCGAGUCGCAUGACUACACGCCCGACAUUGUCACCAUGGCCAAGGGCAUUGGCAAUGGCUUUCCGCUGGCUGCAGUGGUUACCACGCCAGAGAUUGCCGCCUCCCUAGGCAUGGCUCUGCACUUCAAUACCUAUGGCGGCAAUCCCAUGGCCAGCGCCGUGGGCAUCUCCGUGCUGGACGUGAUCGAAGAGGAGCAACUGCAGCGCAACUCCCUGGAGGUGGGCACCUACUUCCUCAAGUGCCUCGAAGAGCUGCAGCAGCGCUACGAGCUGAUCGGCGAUGUGCGCGGCAAGGGCUUGAUGAUCGGCGUGGAGCUCGUCAGCGAUCGGGAGACGCGUGCUCCACUCGCUGCGCCACACGUGCUCGACAUCUGGGAGAUGUGCAAGGAUAUGGGCGUCCUCUUUGGCCGUGGUGGGCUGCAUGGCAAUGUUCUACGCAUUAAGCCGCCCAUGUGCAUUAAUCGCGCCGAUGUCAAGUUUGCUGUGGAUGUGCUGGGUCAAGCUAUAGCGGAUUCAUUGGCCAGGCAAAAUUAGUUAACGAAAUUCCCAAUUCAAUUGGCAAUUGGCUAGCAGAGAAGACUUCAGCUGCCCCCAGAAUGCAUUUAUAGAAUAGUUCUUAACUGAAAUUCCUUUACGUAAUAAAGAAAAAGUAAUCCAAAUUUCUCAAUAUACAUUUUACAUAUCAUAUCUAUAAAAUAUGCACUCUAAUCUAAUAUCCAAGCACUCUUUGGGUUUCUCCUCUAACUCAUGCUCAUACGCAAGUUUCCUAACUACAAGUGCUCAGCUUUAGGCCGCCGCUUUGCAUCAGCUACGAGGAUGUGGAGCUUACGUUAAGUAUUUUGGAAGCGGUUUUCGUGG